GGAUGCGAGGGCGAUCUGGCUGCAACAUCUGUUACCCAAUUGAUUGCCAGGGUUGAUGGGCUGAUCUGGCUGGUUAGGCAGGUGUCCCCCUUCCUCUCUCUCCGCUCCAUGUGCGUCCCUCCACAAGCUGAGUGUUCAGUCGAAGAGGAUGACCACCCCUAUAGAGGAGGGCCAUUUCCUCAGUCAAGGGUAUACAAGUAGCUCUCAAGUUAACAAGCUCGCAAGACAACCCUGUGCCAAUUCAUGUGACUGAGCAAAAGGUUAAAAAAAAAAAAUUCACCUCUGUCCUAAAAAACCUGUGUUGUC
RNAcentral lists this small RNA (306 nucleotides) under Fukomys damarensis (Damara mole-rat). RNAcentral's name for it is "7SK RNA (ENSFDAG00000000478.1)". The stretch from base 1 to 233 matches the Rfam family "7SK RNA". From Rfam's summary of the family: 7SK was discovered as an abundant small nuclear RNA in the mid-70s but a possible function has only recently been suggested. Lineage: Eukaryota; Metazoa; Chordata; Mammalia; Rodentia; Bathyergidae. The record is from RNAcentral.